This is a long non-coding RNA of Dermacentor andersoni, 390 nucleotides long. RefSeq lists it as uncharacterized. Lineage: Eukaryota; Metazoa; Arthropoda; Arachnida; Ixodida; Ixodidae. The record is from RefSeq and is a predicted model, not a curated record.
GGCAUUUGUUUCCAUCUUUACCGCUAAGUAUACUACAUACAUUUUCAUUAUGUUUCUAUCUUGAUGUCAGUCUCCACUCCUGGCAUAAAAUACACACUAGUUACCUGGGAGGAAAAAUACCAAUGUGGUAUUUUAUACUUUACUGACUCCAAAGGUACCGCGAAAUGCGAGCUGCAUGCCUGGAAUUCAGGAGCCCCCAACGCAUCUCAAAACUGCAAUGAUGAUUACACGAAAUAUUGUCAAGAGUAUGAAAGAAGCCAGACUCCGCAGACUGUGUACUCCAGUAGCUGCACAGCCCAACCAGGCUGCUAGGAGCUCCUUGUCAACAGAGCAAUGUCCACCCUAAGAAGGUGCUCACAAUAAAAUAUUCGCUCCUUUUUUAUUAUUUAA